This 783-nucleotide ribosomal RNA is filed under the name Staphylococcus sp. LKS-198. RNAcentral describes it as "bacterial SSU rRNA". It matches the Rfam family "Bacterial small subunit ribosomal RNA", at positions 59 to 824 of the family's 1533-position model. Lineage: Bacteria; Bacillati; Bacillota; Bacilli; Caryophanales; Staphylococcaceae. The record is from RNAcentral.
AAGUCGAGCGAACAGACGAGGAGCUUGCUCCUCUGACGUUAGCGGNGGACGGGUGAGUAACACGUGGAUAACCUACCUAUAAGACUGGGAUAACUUCGGGAAACCGGAGCUAAUACCGGAUAACAUGUUGAACCGCAUGGUUCAACAGUGAAAGACGGUCUUGCUGUCACUUAUAGAUGGAUCCGCGCCGCAUUAGCUAGUUGGUAAGGUAACGGCUUACCAAGGCAACGAUGCGUAGCCGACCUGAGAGGGUGAUCGGCCACACUGGAACUGAGACACGGUCCAGACUCCUACGGGAGGCAGCAGUAGGGAAUCUUCCGCAAUGGGCGAAAGCCUGACGGAGCAACGCCGCGUGAGUGAAGAAGGUCUUCGGAUCGUAAAACUCUGUUAUUAGGGAAGAACAAAUGUGUAAGUAACUAUGCACGUCUUGACGGUACCUAAUCAGAAAGCCACGGCUAACUACGUGCCAGCAGCCGCGGUAAUACGUAGGUGGCAAGCGUUAUCCGGAAUUAUUGGGCGUAAAGCGCGCGUAGGCGGUUUUUUAAGUCUGAUGUGAAAGCCCACGGCUCAACCGUGGAGGGUCAUUGGAAACUGGAAAACUUGAGUGCAGAAGAGGAAAGUGGAAUUCCAUGUGUAGCGGUGAAAUGCGCAGAGAUAUGGAGGAACACCAGUGGCGAAGGCGACUUUCUGGUCUGUAACUGACGCUGAUGUGCGAAAGCGUGGGGAUCAAACAGGAUUAGAUACCCUGGUAGUCCACGCCGUAAACGAUGAGUGCUAAGUGUU